Molecule: ribosomal RNA, 253 nt
Filed under: uncultured bacterium
Lineage: Bacteria
Description: partial 16S ribosomal RNA
Rfam family: Bacterial small subunit ribosomal RNA
Source: RNAcentral
UACAGGGGGUGCAAGCGUUGCUCGGAAUCAUUGGGCGUAAAGGGCAAGUAGGUGGUCUCAUUUGUCUCGUGUGAAAGCCUUGGGCUUAACCCAAGAAGUGCGCGAGAAACGGUGAGACUCGAGUUCUGGAGAGGGUCGUGGAAUUCCCGGUGUAGCGGUGAAAUGCGUAGAGAUCGGGAGGAACACCAGUGGCGAAGGCGACUACCUGGCCUGUUCUUGACGCUGAGGCGCGAAAGCUAGGGGAGCAAACGGG